RNAcentral lists this ribosomal RNA (91 nucleotides) under Monopterus albus (swamp eel). Lineage: Eukaryota; Metazoa; Chordata; Actinopteri; Synbranchiformes; Synbranchidae. The record is from RNAcentral.
UACAGCCACACUGCUCUGGCUGCCCCUGAUCUGAUCUGGUCUCUGAAGCUAAGCUGAGCCGGGCCUGGUUGUUACCUGGGCUAGGCUGGAG